Molecule: non-coding RNA, 61 nt
Organism: Panagrellus redivivus
Lineage: Eukaryota; Metazoa; Nematoda; Chromadorea; Rhabditida; Panagrolaimidae
Source: Rfam
UAUGGGCCCUCAUGACAAUCUUGUUAUCACUAAAAUCAUGAAUGUUAUGAAGGCCCAUGGC